RNAcentral lists this ribosomal RNA (257 nucleotides) under Pseudomonas aeruginosa. RNAcentral's name for it is "partial 16S ribosomal RNA". It matches the Rfam family "Bacterial small subunit ribosomal RNA", at positions 1 to 256 of the family's 1533-position model. Lineage: Bacteria; Pseudomonadati; Pseudomonadota; Gammaproteobacteria; Pseudomonadales; Pseudomonadaceae. RNAcentral also lists the same sequence under 2 other names. The record is from RNAcentral.
AAAUUGAAGAGUUUGAUCAUGGCUCAGAUUGAACGCUGGCGGCAGGCCUAACACAUGCAAGUCGAGCGGUAGCACAGAGAGCUUGCUCUCGGGUGACGAGCGGCGGACGGGUGAGUAAUGUCUGGGAAACUGCCUGAUGGAGGGGGAUAACUACUGGAAACGGUAGCUAAUACCGCAUAAUGUCGCAAGACCAAAGUGGGGGACCUUCGGGCCUCAUGCCAUCAGAUGUGCCCAGAUGGGAUUAGCUAGUAGGUGGG